CGGAAGUAGGUGGGGAUUGUGAUUUGGUUCUGGGCAUUGUGAUCUAUAUAAAGCAUGUUCUUCUCACUUAAGUUUGUAUCCUGACGAAAGGUGUCAAUAAAGUGCACCUGAAACGUUGAAACUACGCUUGUGUAGCUGGUCUGUUUUCUGGAAUCCGUGGAGUGCCGCCCGUCUCGCUCUCUCCCUCUGCAUGUUCCUUCCGGAUCGUGGGAUAGCACCCAGGAUAAAUAACAUUACAUGCCAACUUUGCCUUCUGUGGAAUCCCUCUUGUGUAUUUCAAGUACAGUACAUGCAUGUAAUAGGACAGUGACCUCAGCAAGAGAGUGCUCUAACAAAGUCAUUUUACUGUGUCGCCUCUCUGCUGAACUCUGAGAAGGGAAAGCCGGUGGAGUCAUUGCCCACCAGAAGAAGGAAGACCCACUGGAGCCACUGUCUCUACUGCAAGGAGAGAUGCAGAAAUUACCAGUGAUUGAACGCUAAAGCCAGCAAAAGAACACUCAAGUCCAGUGGAUGAAUAAUGUAACUUACUUUAAUAAAACAAAGGCAACGGUUCAGCUUACCUACUGCUGUAGAUGGUUGGUUAAAUGGAAGGAAAUUGCUGAGACUGAAUGUUGCAAACAUCCAUGCCAAGCAUAGCUACUCCAAAGUCUGAAAACAGAACACCAAGUACUCAGCCCUUUUAUCCGCAGAGCAUCACACCUUGGAAGAUGCCAUUCCUGUACCUGCUGGUUGACUGGUUACUAAAUUUAGGCUGGGAUCCUCCCUGACUUGCUCAUAUAACUUACUAGCUAAAUACCCGUGCUUCGCUAUGGAAUUUCAAGUAUUUUUGUGUGUAUAACUUUAAUUUUGAAGAACUUCCUGGUAAACUAAUGAGAGUUACAACAGGAUAUGCUCCGCCCACCGCUGCUAAUCUUUGUCAGGCCGCAC
This is a long non-coding RNA of Pseudophryne corroboree (corroboree frog), 927 nucleotides long. RefSeq lists it as uncharacterized. The transcript has 5 exons. Lineage: Eukaryota; Metazoa; Chordata; Amphibia; Anura; Myobatrachidae. The record is from RefSeq and is a predicted model, not a curated record.